ACACCCGGAGAACUGAAACAUCUUAGUACCCGGAGGAAGAGAAAGAAAAUUCGAUUCCCUUAGUAGCGGCGAGCGAAACGGGAAGAGCCCAAACCAAAAAGCUUGCUUGUUGGGGUUGUAGGACACUCUAUACGGAGUUACAAAGGACGACAUUAGACGAAUCAUCUGGAAAGAUGAAUCAAAGAAGGUAAUAAUCCUGUAGUCGAAAAUGUUGUCUCUCUUGAGUGGAUCCUGAGUACGACGGAGCACGUGAAAUUCCGUCGGAAUCUGGGAGGACCAUCUCCUAAGGCUAAAUACUCUCUAGUGACCGAUAGUGAACCAGUACCGUGAGGGAAAGGUGAAAAGCACCCCGGAAGGAGAGUGAAAUAGAACCUGAAACCGUGUGCUUACAAGUAGUCAGAGCCCGUUAAUGGGUGAUGGCGUGCCUUUUGUAGAAUGAACCGGCGAGUUACGAUUUGAUGCAAGGUUAAGCAGUAAAUGUGGAGCCGUAGCGAAAGCGAGUCUGAAUAGGGCGUUUAGUAUUUGGUCGUAGACCCGAAACCAGGUGAUCUACCCUUGGUCAGGUUGAAGUUCAGGUAACACUGAAUGGAGGACCGAACCGACUUACGUUGAAAAGUGAGCGGAUGAACUGAGGGUAGCGGAGAAAUUCCAAUCGAACCUGGAGAUAGCUGGUUCUCUCCGAAAUAGCUUUAGGGCUAGCCUCAAGUGAUGAUUAUUGGAGGUAGAGCACUGUUUGGACGAGGGGCCCCUCUCGGGUUACCGAAUUCAGACAAACUCCGAAUGCCAAUUAAUUUAACUUGGGAGUCAGAACAUGGGUGAUAAGGUCCGUGUUCGAAAGGGAAACAGCCCAGACCACCAGCUAAGGUCCCAAAAUAUAUGUUAAGUGGAAAAGGAUGUGGCGUUGCCCAGACAACUAGGAUGUUGGCUUAGAAGCAGCCAUCAUUUAAAGAGUGCGUAAUAGCUCACUAGUCGAGUGACACUGCGCCGAAAAUGUACCGGGGCUAAACAUAUUACCGAAGCUGUGGAUUGUCCUUUGGACAAUGGUAGGAGAGCGUUCUAAGGGCGUUGAAGCAUGAUCGUAAGGACAUGUGGAGCGCUUAGAAGUGAGAAUGCCGGUGUGAGUAGCGAAAGACGGGUGAGAAUCCCGUCCACCGAUUGACUAAGGUUUCCAGAGGAAGGCUCGUCCGCUCUGGGUUAGUCGGGUCCUAAGCUGAGGCCGACAGGCGUAGGCGAUGGAUAACAGGUUGAUAUUCCUGUACCACCUAUAAUCGUUUUAAUCGAUGGGGGGACGCAGUAGGAUAGGCGAAGCGUGCGAUUGGAUUGCACGUCUAAGCAGUAAGGCUGAGUAUUAGGCAAAUCCGGUACUCGUUAAGGCUGAGC
RNAcentral lists this ribosomal RNA (1380 nucleotides) under Staphylococcus aureus. RNAcentral describes it as "partial 23S ribosomal RNA". It matches the Rfam family "Bacterial large subunit ribosomal RNA", at positions 181 to 1561 of the family's 2925-position model. The record is from RNAcentral. Lineage: Bacteria; Bacillati; Bacillota; Bacilli; Caryophanales; Staphylococcaceae.